RNAcentral lists this transfer RNA (73 nucleotides) under Blastopirellula marina DSM 3645. Its description in RNAcentral is "tRNA-Lys". It matches the Rfam family "tRNA". From Rfam's summary of the family: Transfer RNA (tRNA) molecules are approximately 80 nucleotides in length. Their secondary structure includes four short double-helical elements and three loops (D, anti-codon, and T loops). The record is from RNAcentral. RNAcentral also lists the same sequence under 3 other names. Lineage: Bacteria; Pseudomonadati; Planctomycetota; Planctomycetia; Pirellulales; Pirellulaceae.
GCUCCUUUAGCUCAAUCGGCAGAGCAACUGACUCUUAAUCAGUAGGUUGUUGGUUCGACUCCAACAGGGAGCA